RNAcentral lists this long non-coding RNA (1730 nucleotides) under Malus domestica (apple). RNAcentral's name for it is "long non-coding RNA (MDOM_LNC014892)". The record is from RNAcentral. Lineage: Eukaryota; Viridiplantae; Streptophyta; Magnoliopsida; Rosales; Rosaceae.
CAAAACAAAGAUUGAAUUAUACAUAGCAACUGUUUGAUAAUAAACACUGCCUUUCAGUUUACAAUUUUUUAUUCACUUUUUUUACGCAACCUAAUAACCACCCACAAAAUAACAUGUCAAUUCUCAGCUUUCAACAAAAUUAAAACCCAGAAACUGAAUCGAGCGAGAUUACACAACAGUUGUCAAUAACAAAAAUGCUUGAAUGUACUAUAACGGCAAUAAGAUAAUUAAAAAAUUAUAGUCGUAAUAUAACACUAGGACACCCACAUCGCAUAAUGAGGUCAUACCGUAACUUGAAAAUUAAAAACAUUAACUCUACGUAUGCUCUGUUAAAAAUGGCAAAAGAAAGCUAAACUCGUUUCGUUGGUUCACCUCAAAAUUCCCACAAACGAACAGCAUAUAAUUCGAUUAUCUUGCAAUUGAAGAGAACCAUUCGGGCUUCAGACUUGGCAGAUGAGAGAGCACCGGUUAGCCCGGUUGCCAAAAUCCUUGGUGCCAUCUAAUGGUAAUACAAUCUCCAAAUAUUGAAGCAAAAGCAGCCAAAGGCAAACAAAAUUACAGAGUAUUACAAAGUCUCCAAAUAAUAUCAGCUCCAAGAACAUGUAUUUAACUUGAAUUGUAAUCAAUACCCAUAAAAAAAUUCAGUAUACAACACAAAACUUCAAUUCCAAGUUAAGACUGGUAAUAAAAUUUUCAGCUCAUUCCACAUAAUGUCGUAACUAAGGCACGAGGCAGAUUUGGAAAGGAUUGUAAGCAUAUUGCAAAUGUGAAUUCCAAAAACAACGUAAUUUAUAUUGAAUGCGUGCACAAGGACAGGAGUUUCGUAAGCGGAUAAGAUCGACUACAUGGCAUAUUAAUGGGGUACAAUUGAUGAUUGAUGCAAGUGUAUCGAAUCCCAUAACAGAUGCCUUGAGGCAAAGUCAACACAUACUUAACACAAUCCAGGAUAAUUUGGAAAGAUAUCUGUUAAGUAGAGAGAGUAAUUCGAGGAUAACAUUGUAACUAUAUAUAGGAGUAAUGCAAAGUGGACCAAUUUUUUAGACUAAAUUCAUAAUAAUUCUUCACUUGUAAUUGUAAUUGAGAGGUCUUUAAGUUCAGUUUUCGCAUAAAGCAAACUUGAACCGCACUGAGGCUUGAAUCAUUCACCAACCCAAUAAUAUCGUUCGUUCAAAAAAAAAAACCAAAACAUCAGAAAUAAGAACUCCAGUAAUAAUCCAAUCAUCAACUACCCAUCAUAUGAUUUAUGAACUUUAGUCUAAAUAGUCGGUCUUCCAGGCAUUUUCCUAUAGACAGUUAGGGUUUCUUAAACUCCCUUUUACCUAGGAAUCAAGUGAAACAGUUUGAAUAUCAUAAUUCAGAGAACUGACAAAAAAACAUUAUUAUGCAUGUCUACCAAUCCUCAUGUACCCAGUUACAUUGGAUUAUAUCAAUCUAUAAUAUUAAGCCCAUAUUAGAUAAUUGGACUACAAAUACGAUUAAACCCACAUUAAUUUGAAGUAAAUUGAGCAUGAGGCGAACUAAUGGUGCAUAAUAAUUAGGGGUUUUCCGUUUAACUGGGGUUAAUAUAGUAACAGAUGCAUAUCAAUGGAAAUAGGCAGUCAGAUAAUACCUUUGGCGGUGAGAUAUGCCGUCGUUGAUGUGCUGAAUCCGUGUUCGAAUGCGCAGGCAGUAGAGCUAAAAAUAAAACACAGCACAAAAGGAAGGGACACACACAGAGCACACACCACACA